RNAcentral lists this long non-coding RNA (1223 nucleotides) under Ursus americanus (American black bear). RNAcentral's name for it is "lncRNA (ENSUAMG00000007149.1)". Lineage: Eukaryota; Metazoa; Chordata; Mammalia; Carnivora; Ursidae. The record is from RNAcentral.
GGCAGGCUGCAGCGCUUACAGACAGGGUCGCUGCGGGGCGGGCUGGGCCAGCAGAGGCCAGUGCCCCACUGCAGCUAGCUCGAAGAGGCACCAGGUUUCUGGGAGUGAAGGACGCUACUGCUCACCGCCUUCUUCCUGGCUGCUCUGUCAUUUCAGGGGAAGUGAAAGUGAAAGUGAAACUAGACGGAGCCAGCUCCUGGUCCUGCCUCCAGACAGCUCCGGCAGCUGUGGGGCACAGGCAAAGUGGGACAGAGCUCUUGGCUGUCUGGCCUCUGGGAGAGCAGGAACCUGGGGCCCGUUCCCCGGAGGGUGGACCACAGCUCGCCACAAAACUCCACAGGAGCUAAACCAGAUGUGGUCAUAAAUUCUUUUUUUAAAUUGAGGUAAAAUUCAUAUAACAUUAAAAAAACCAUUUUCAAGUGUACCAUUCAGCGGCAUUUUGUGUCCGCACAAUGUUGUGCAGCCACUGCCUCUGUGUAGUUUCGAAACGUUUCCAUAACCUACAGAAGAACACCCCCACCACGGUAAAUAAUCACUUCGUCCCCUACCCUGAACCCCUGGCAAAUACUUAGAUUCUGUCUCCAGGGUUUUACAUAGUCUGGAUAUUUCUGUGAAAACAAUCAUACAAAUCGUGACCUUUGAUAUCUGCUCUCUUUCCCUCAGCAUGUAUUUGAGUUUCAUCCAAAUUAUAGCAGGUACAGUCCUCAUUCCUUUUUAUGGCUGAAAAAUACUCCAUCGUACAGCUUAUGACGCUUUGUUGAUCCAGUCACCUGUUGAUGGACAUUUGACUCGUUUCCACCAUUGGGUCAUUAUGAAUAGUGCUGCCAAGAUCAUUCUGGAACAUGUAUUUGAGUAUUUGCUUUCAAUUCUUUGGGGUAUAUACCCAGGAGUCGAAUUCCUGGGUUGUACGGUAAUGUUUAAUUUUUUGAGGGACCAACAGCUGUUUUCCACCAGCAGUGUACAAAAUUCCGAUUUGUCCACACUGUAGCCAACACGGGUUUUUCUUUAAAAAACAAAAACAAAACGUAUACCCAUCCUAAAGAAUGUGAAGUAGUAUGUAAUUUUUUUUCAUUCAGUAAACAUUUACUGGGUGUGUCAUAUGUACUAGGUACAGAAAUCAGGGCCUGACUGUCUUCUUGUGACUGGCUUAUUUCACUUAGCAAGUAUCUUCGAGGUCCAUCCAUACUGUAACAUAUUACAGAACUUCCUUCCUUUUAAAAGCC